GACGUAGGGCGCGAGCGUUGUCCGGAUUUAUUGGGCGUAGAGAGCUCGUAGGCGGCUUGUCGCGUCGUCCGUGAAAACCCACAGCUCAACUGUGGGCUUGCGGUCGAUACGGGCAGGCUAGAGUUCGGUAGGGGAGACUGGAAUUCCUGGUGUAGCGGUGAAAUGCGCAGAUAUCAGGAGGAACACCGGUGGCGAAGGCGGGUCUCUGGGCCGAUACUGACGCUGAGGAGCGAAAGCAUGGGGAGCGAACAGG
RNAcentral lists this ribosomal RNA (253 nucleotides) under uncultured bacterium. RNAcentral describes it as "partial 16S ribosomal RNA". It matches the Rfam family "Bacterial small subunit ribosomal RNA", at positions 524 to 776 of the family's 1533-position model. The record is from RNAcentral.